This 408-nucleotide ribosomal RNA is filed under the name uncultured bacterium. Its description in RNAcentral is "partial 16S ribosomal RNA". It matches the Rfam family "Bacterial small subunit ribosomal RNA", at positions 28 to 526 of the family's 1533-position model. The record is from RNAcentral.
GACGAACGCUGGCGGCGUGCUUAACACAUGCAAGUCGAACGGAGUGGCGAACGGGUGAGUAACACGUGGGUGAUCUGCCUUGCUCUUCGGGAUAAGCUUGGGGAACUGGGUCUAAUACCGGAUAGUGCAAGAUGAGCUCGCGGCCCAUCAGCUUGUUGGUGGGGUAAUGGCCUACCAAGGCGUCGACGGGUAGCCGGCCUGGGAGGGUGUACGGAAACAGUGGGGAUGCUAGACGGCCCAGACUCCUAGGGGAGGCAGCAGGGGGGAAUAUUGCACAAUGGGCGGAAGCCUGAUGCAGCGACGCCGCGGGGGGGAUGAAGGCCUUCGGGUUGUAAACUCCUUUCGACAGGGACGCGGUACCUGCAUAAGAAGCACCGGCUAACUACGUGCCAGCAGCCGCGGUAAUAC